Molecule: long non-coding RNA, 30389 nt
Filed under: Triticum aestivum (bread wheat)
Lineage: Eukaryota; Viridiplantae; Streptophyta; Magnoliopsida; Poales; Poaceae
Description: long non-coding RNA (TAES_LNC000163)
Source: RNAcentral
GAAUAUCAUACUGAAAUGGGAGAAAUCUCCAGCAUUGACCUGGUCAGCCUGGACAUGGGUUCCUUUGGCACGACCAAUAAUUUUGGCGUCCGGUGCAGGUGCAUCAAGUAGAGUAUAAUCAAAAGCAACCGUCCUACCAAACUCUAUAGGAGGAGUAGACUUAAACACAACUUCUUGGUUGUGGGUUGGUCCGGACACCACCUGGUGCAAAUACAUCUGCAUUUUUAUCUCACUUUCACAACGAGUGGGACAUGCAAAAAAGGGAUGGGCCAUGGAAAGCAUCAGAAUGGAGAAAAAGAGGGAGGCUAGGGCAAGUCUAGGGUUAGCCAUUGCUAGGAUUGUUGGCUCCCAAAGAGAAGACCACUAUACUUGAAUCUGUGUUUCUCUUUUUUUUGAGAUUAACAGUACUUCAUUGAUUACUGAACAUCAUAGCCAAGUUCGUCCCUGAUACAAUCUGGAACCGCACCAAGAUAAAAAAGAUUAACAGAGUGCUCACAACAACGAGCUAGUUUGUGUGCUGCUACAUUCAUACCACGCCUGACAUGUAAGAAAGAACAUUGAGUAAACCCAGACGCAAGAGACUUGAUGUCCGAGACAACAGUGCCCACUCUUGAUCAAUCUUGAGCCGUAGACUUGAUUUUGUUCACCAUGGAGGGGCAGUCAGAUGCCAAAACAAUUAACGAACAGCCUUCAGAUCGACAAACCUCAAGAGCACAUCGGAUGGCAAGCGCCUCAGCCAACUCCGGUUCGGAGAAGCCUUGAAGCUGCUCAUUGCCAGCAAACAUGCACUCCCCAAGAUGAUUCAUAGCCACAAAGCCCAUGCCCAUCCGUCGGGUAGAAGGGAACAGCGCCGCAUCAACAUUCACAGCCACCACACCAACAGGUGGCGGAGUCCAAAUAACAGUUGAAGAAUAAGACUCACGCCUGGGAUCGGGUUUAGGCUUAGAACAAUGUUGCAACACCAUACAGACAUAGGCACAAACUUUUGAAGCAGUUCUAGCAGGAUGCACUUCGGUGCCAUUAUUACGUACCUUAGUUCUAGCUUCCCAGAUAUGGCAUAGAGUGAUAGCCAAGACAGUAGCUUGAAGCUUCGAAGCAUGAGCCAGGAAAUCGAACAUCCAUUGACGGCCAUUAACCAUGUCUUUUCUACACAGCCUGACACUGAACUCCUCUUUAACCCCUUUCCAAACGGAACGGGCGAAGGGACACAACAGGAAGAGAUGCUCCACACGCUCAGUCCGGUUGCAGAAGAAACAGCCAUCGUCGGCUGGAAUGUGACGCCUCACCAGCUAGAAACCCGUAGGUAAACAAUCAUGCACGAAAAGCCACAAAACAAUCUUCACUUUGUUUGGACAAUUGACUGACCAAAGGGCCUUCCACUCCUUUUCUUGCACCUGAAUGUUGGAAGCCAGACCCUUGCCCUUUCCACUUGUAGAGGAGAAAAAGUUCUCACUUCGAGUAAGAUUAUAGCCAGACUUGACCGAGUAGGUGCCAAGCUUGUCAUGAGGCCACGACAGGAAGUCAUCUCCCCCAAAACGACUUAUGGGAACUUGCAGAAUUUGUUCCGCAAUAGGAUCAGCAAAUAAGCUUCGCACAAGGUCUUCGUCCCAAGUCACCAAUGACUCAGCCAGCAAGAAUUGAACUGAAGUUUCAGCCGGAAUAGGGAGAAUCGUGUUGAAAGUUCUAGGAGGGAAACCUGGAAUCCAGUUGUCUUCCAUAACUUUGAUCCGGGUGCCAUUUCCUACACCCCACCGAGCUCCCUUCUGAAUCAGUUGACGCCCAAAAAGCAAACUGCGCCAAGUGAAGGAGGAUGAUCUUGGCUUGGUAGCAGUCCAAAAAACCCCAUCAGGGAAGUAGCGUCCCUUUAAGACCCUCGAACACAGAUAGUCGGGUUCAGUCAGGAGACGCCAACACUGACGCGCAAGCAUCGCCUGAUUGAAAAGUACCAAGUCGCGGAAGCCCAUUCCAUCGAGAAACUUUGGGGUAGAAAGCCACGUCCAAGAACGCCAAUGCAUUUUUUGACGUCCAUCUUCAACACCCCACUAGUGGUUGGCGAUGUAGGUCUUCAUUUUCUCACAAAUGGAGAUAGGCAGUUGGAAGCAACUCAUCACAUAGUUGGGGAUGGGUUGAGCCACAGAUUUUAGAAAUAUUUCCUUUCCAUCCCGUGACAUCGGCCUAUCAUUGCAGCCAUUGAUCCUCUUCCAAACCCGGCCUGGUAAGAAGCUAAAGGAGUUGGUAGCUGCACGACCAAUCUCAGUGGGCAUACCGAGAUAAGAGUCAUGGAGAAUUUCAUUAUCUACCCCAAGGCACCUCUUUACAGUUCCCUUGACACCAUCAGGGCAGAGCUUCCCGAAGAAGAUCGCAGACUUUAGCAAGUUGAUCCUUUGCCCAGAGGCCUCGCAAUAUUGAUGGAGAGCAGAAUUCAGAGCCUCCACGCUUCUAUUAUCGUUGCAUGCGAAGAAGAUGAUGUCAUCUGCAAAAAGCAAGUGAGAUAUAGGAGGGCCUUGCGUACCAUUUCGAAUCCCUUGUAGCUCGCCAAGGCUCUCCCUCCUUUGCAGUAAUCCAGACAAACCUUUCGUACACAGCAAGAACAGGUAUUGGCUGAUGGGAUCUCCUUGGCGGAGCCCCCUGGACGGCACCACGGCAGAAGUGAUUUCACCAUUCACCUUCACUGCAUAUCUUGUCGAGGUAAUGCAGCACAUCACAGUUUGUAUCCAAGCAGGAGCAAAACCCAACUUCUGAAGACACCCAUGGAGGUAUGCCCAUUCGAUGCGGUCAUACACCUUCAUCAUAUCCACUUUGAGAGCAAAGAAAGGCCUCUUGGAAUGUUGUUUCCGAACAGUGUGCAAACAUUCAUAGGCAACAAGCACGCUGUCCGUGAUCAAGCGGCCUGUGACACUCCAAUUUUUUUUGUGAUAUCUGUUUUCAGCUAGAGUCCUGCUUGGUUUAAAGAAGGUCAUUUAAACCCUUCUUAAAAACCUCUCAUCUGAGUUUUCCCACUAAAAAUCUUUUCUUGGAUUUAUUUUCUUCUAAAAACAAAACCUUUUUGGUUUGGGCUUUUCUUUGGUUUUGAUCCCUCUUGAUUUUACCAUGCCACUUAUGGUAAAAAAUUUCCCAAAAACCCUCCUUCCACUUUGGAUCAACCCAAACAUUCUGUCCCAACUACUAAAAUCCAUUUUUGGAUUUUAUCUCAUUGGUUUCUUAUCCCAAAACAAUUCUGUCACUUAUUUUGAGCCUAGGUAAUUUGCAAAGCAAGUACCUUAAUGCCUUUGAGUUUUGAUCUCAAACCAACUCCUCUGGAUAGUCCUUAGCACCCACAACCUAGAACCAUCAAGAUCCACUCUUCUUCUUUUCAAAAAUUUCAAAAUUCACCCUCUGCAAGUUUGGACCAGAUUUGUAAAAUUUGGUGAAAUUCAUACCUCCACUCCUCCAAAAAUUCCACCAAAAUUCGGGCAACCCCUAGCUGCAAUGAGAGACCACUCCACCAAAAACCAGCUCAAGGAAAAAUCCCCACAUGCCAAAAUCAUUCUGUCGAACACCUGGCAUACAUUGUUACUGUUCAUCUUCAGUGAAAUUCAGAGUUCAGUGUCGUUUCUUCGUCAGAGAUUCAGUCACAUGUCGACAGUGCGCUUGGCGCGUUGCUCACAGCCCCUCCUUCCUGUCCGGAGCACCACACGCACGCUUGGCUCGUUCUUGGCGUCGGUGGCGCCCUGGCCCACCAAACCACAAUUUCACUCAGGGGCAGACAAGUCAACAGGACAGUGAAACAGCAUCUACCCAAGUAUGUUAUCUAUAUGAACAGGGUCAGCAACAACACCAGGAAAUGAUGAACCAAUUCAUCAAUAUGGGAAAUAACUGUGGUCAGUAUCAGCAGCAAUCCAAGUUAUCUGAGUUACAGAAAACGCGUCCUCAAACAUUUUCUCAUACUGACAAGCCUCUUGAGGCCGAAGACUGGCUUCGAGACAUGGAGAGAAAAUUAAUUAUUGCACAGUGUUCAGACCGUGAAAAAGUAUAGUAUGCACCACAUUACCUCACCGGAGCAACUGCAUCAUGGUGGAAAAACGUCCUGCACAUGCACCCCAACGAAAACGAAAUAACCUGGGAGGAUUUCAAGGAAGGUUUUCGUGGGGCACACAUUCCUAAGAGUGUUAUGAAAAUCAAGAAGAGAGAAUUUGAUGACCUCAAGCAAAGGACCAUGACAGUGUCAGAAUACAACAGCCAAUUCACUCUGCUGUCUCGCUACGCCAAUGAAGAGCGUAUGACCGAGAGCAAGAAGAUGGAAAAAUUCUUGGAAGGCCUGGCACCCCGCGCUUAAAUGCCAGCUAGUUGUGCAUACCUUCCCAGAUUUUAAAACACUGGUGGAUAAGGCCAUUACUCUGGAAAAUGAGCGAGGCAGCUUAGAAGAUUUCCGCAAACGCAAAAGGGACUAGUCUAGUCUGCUCGCAACCACAGAAGCAAGACUGAAAUUCAGAAGGGUAGUGCACACAAAACCCCGGCGAAUAAUUCACGCCCAAUCAAGAAUUUCCAUGCAAGAGACAAGGAGUUCACAUAUCGCCCAGGCGUUACUUGUUACGCUUGUGGAGAAGAAGGGCACUAUGCCAAGCAGUGCCCCAAGCAAAGGAACUCAACUCCAAAGCCUAGCAAUGGUGGCAAUAAUUCAGCGCCAAAAGGAAACAAUUUCAACCCCAAUAACAACCACCGGAAGGGUCACCUGAACCACGUGACCAAAGAGGAAGCACAGAACGCCCCAGAUAUCGUACUCGGUACGUACCCUGUCAACACAAUACCUGCCAUGGUUUUGUUUGAUUCUGGAGCUUCUCACUCAUUCAUUUCGAAGAGUUUUGCUUUGCAAAAUAAUUUUUUGAUGCUUCCUUGGAAAAAUCAAUGAUCAUCAAGUCCCUUGGGAUUAAGCAAGUGACCCAGAGUUAUUGUCAAGGUGUGGUUAUUGAAUUUGAAGGAUUGAAGUUUUAUGCCAACCUUAUUGUAUUGGAAAGCAAAGGACUGGAUGUCAUCCUAGGGAUGGAUUGGUUAACCACCAACAAAGGUUUUAUUGACUUCUUCAACCGGACCGUGAUCCUCACACACCAUCACGGGAAGACAAUAAAAGUUUCAGCUAAAGAGAGACAAAUACCUCGACAACCGAGAUUAAACAAGGUGGAUGUUUCUGAGCUGAACAAGGUUCCAGUAGUGUGUGAAUUUCCAGACGUAUUUCCAGGAGAACUACCAGGCAUGCCACCGGACCGAGAGAUAGAAUUCAGCAUUGAGCUAGCACCCGAAACCGCUCCCAUUUACAAGAAACCAUACAGAAUGGCACCAUCCGAAUUGGUAGAAUUGAAGAAGCAAAUAAAAGAAUUAUUGGAGAAAGGAUACAUACGAGCCAGUUCCUCACCUUGGGGUUCUCCAAUUUUAUUUGCCAAGAAAAAGGAUGGAACGCUGAGAUUGUGUAUUGACUAUCGAGCUCUUAACAUGGUCACAAUCAAGAACAAAUAACCAAUGCCCCGAAUAAAUGAUUUAUUUGAUCUGCUCGCACAGGCCAAAGUCUUCUCAAAAAUUGACUUGAGAUCAGGAUACCACCAAUUAAAAGUGCGAACAGAAGAUAUUCCCAAGACAGCCUUCACUUCAAGAUAUGGACUGUACGAGUUCACAGUAAUGCCAUUUGGGCUAACCAAUGCCCCCGCAUAUUUUGUUCACCUCAUGAACAAAGUAUUUAUGAAGUAUAUGGACAAGUUUGUUGUGGUAUUCAUCGAUGAUAUCCUGAUAUACUCCAAAACACCAGAAGAGCACGCCGAGCAUCUCAGGAUUGUACUAGGAGAACUCAGGAAACAUCAACUGUACGCCAAAUUCAGCAAAUGUGAGUUUUGGGUAAGACAGGUGGGUUUUCUGGGCCACGUGCUAACCCAAGAAGGUAUUGCAGUAGACCCGGAAAAAGUCAAGGCCGUACUUGGCUGGAAACCACCAGCUAGCGUAACAGAUGUACGGAGUUUCUUGGGAAUGGCAGGCUAUUAUCAGAGAUUUAUUGAAGGAUUCUCCACCAUAGCAAAGCCCAUGACGCAGUUGCUCAAGAAAGGCAAGAAGUUUGAAUGGACGGAAGCAUGUGAGAAAAGCUUCCAAGAGCUAAAAAGCAAAUUGACAACGACACCAGUAUUAAUUGUGCCAGACAUACACAAAAAUUUUGAGGUAUAUUGUGACGCAUCCCGGAAAGGCCUCGGAUGCGUAUUGAUGCAAGAAGGCAACGUAGUCGCGUAUGUCUCCAGACAACUUCGCAAGCAUGAGGAUAAUUAUCCCACUCAUGACUUAGAAUUGGCAGCCGUCAUCCAUGCACUCAAGGAAUGGAGACACUUUCUACUUGGAAAUCGUUGUGAAAUAUACACAGACCAUAAGAGUCUUAAUUAUAUUUUCACACAGCCGGAACUUAAUUUACGGCAACGAUGCUGGUUGGAGUUGGUAAAGGAUUAUGAUGUUGGAAUCCACUAUCAUCCCAGAAAAGCAAAUGUUGUGGCAGAUGCCCUUAGUAGGAAUCCCAGCACAGACAACGACAAUAUACCAAAUUUGAGGCCAGAAUUUCAACAGGAAUUUGCCAAACUCAAUUUAAUAAUGGUCACCGAAGGCAGUGUGUCGAACUUGGAAAUACAGCCUACCCUGAUGGAAAAGAUUAAGGAGGCUCAGCAUGGACACCCCAGCAUUGAUGGCAUAAAAAGGAAAGUGAGUUCGGGCAAGGCCUCAGAAUUCAACGUAGAUGAGCAAGGAAUAUUGUGGUACGGAGAGAGACUUUGCGUACCAAAUAUCAAGGAUCUCAAACAGCAGAUUCUGGCUGAAAGCCACACCGCUCCGUAUUCAAUCCAUCCUGGAGGAACAAAAAUGUACAAAGACCUUCAGGAAAUUUUUUGGUGGCACGGUAUGAAGAGAGACAUAGCCACGUUCAUUGCAUACUGUGACUCUUGUCAACGCAUCAAGGCCGAGCACCAGAAACCAGCCGGGCUGUUACAGCCAAACAAGAUACCCGAGUGGAAGUGGGACGAGAUUGGAAUGGAUUUCAUUAUUGGACUACCACGGUCACGACACGGAAACAAUGCCAUAUGGGUCAUCACCGACAGAUUAACUAAGGUAGCACAUUUUAUCCCAGUGAAGACAACUCACACCACUCAGAGACUGGCCAGACUUUAUCUUGCCCGUAUCGUCUGCCUGCAUGUAGUCCCGAAGACUAUCAUAUCCGACAGAGGCACAUAGUUCAUCUCUAGAUCUUGGGAUCACCUACAACAGGCACUGGGAACCCAUCUAGCAUUCAGUACUGCAUACCACCCCCAGACUGAUGGUCAAACUGAACGCGUAAAUCAGAUUCUAGAAGACAUGCUGAGAGCCUGUGUCCUCACCUACGGAACCAGUUGGGAAGAAAGUUUGCCAUAUGCAGAGUUCGCAUACAACAGUUAUCAAGCCAGCUUGCAAAUGGCACCCUUUGAAGCUCUAUAUGGGAGAAGAUGUCGUACCCCGCUUAACUGGUCAAAAAUCAGGGACAGCCACAUCUUUGGUCCAGAUAUGCUCAAGGAGGCCGAGGAGAAAGUUAAGACGAUUAGAGAUCGACUUAAGACAGCUCAAAGUCGGCAAAAGAGUUAUUACGAUCGAAAGCAUCGGGAAAUCAGUUUUAAACCCGGAGAAUUUGUAUACCUAAGAGUUUCACCUAUGAGGGGUCUGCAACGAUCCAGGGUUAAGGGAAAGCUAGCACCAAGAUUCAUCGGACCAUUCCGUAUAGUGGCCCGAAGAGGCACGGUAGCCUAUCAGCUAGACCUACCUGGGGAUUUAUCCGAUAUCCACAAUGUGUUCCACAUCUCGCAGUUGAGAAACUACGUGAGCAACCCAGAGAAGCAAAUAUCACAUGAAAAUAUUGACGUGCAACCAGACCUCACCUACCGGGAGCACCCAAUAAAAAUAUUAGAAGAGUCUGAGAGGAGGACCCGACAGAAAACCAUCAAGUUUUUCAGAGUUCAGUGGAGCAAUCACACCGAGAAUGAAGCAACUUGGGAGAGAGAGGAUUUUCUUUGGACAGAGCACCCACACCUGUUUAAGGAUCAGCUGAAAUCUCGGGGACGAGAUUUUUCCUAAGGGGGUAGGUGCUGUGACACUCCAAUUUUUUUUUGUGAUUUCUGUUUUCAGCUAGAGUCCUGCUUGGUUUAAAGAAGGUCAUUUAAACCCUUCUUAAAAACCUCUCAUCUGAGUUUUUCCUCUAAAAAUCUUUUCUUGGAUUUAUUUUCUUCUAAAAACAAAACCUUUUUGGUUUUGGGCUUUUCUUUGGUUUUGAUCCCUCUUGAUUUUACCAUGCCUCUUAUGGUAAAAUUUUUCCCAAAAACCCUCCUUCCACUUUGGAUCAACCCAAACAUUCUGUCCCAACUAAUAAUCCAUUUUUGGAUUUUAUCUCAUUGGUUUCUUAUCCCAAAACAAUUCUGUCACUUAUUUUGAGCCUAGGUAAUUUGCAAAGCAAGUACCUUAAUGCCUUUGAGUUUUGGUCUCAAAUCAACUCCUAUGGAUAGUCCUUAGAACCCACAACCUAGAACCAUCAAGAUCCACUCUUCUUCUUUUCAAGAUUUUCAAAAUUUACCCUCUGCAAGUUUGGACCAGAUUUGUAAAAUUUGGUGAAAUUCAUACCUCCACUCCUGCAAAAAUUCCACCAAAAUUCAGGCAACCCCUAGCUGCAAUGAGAGACCACUCCACCAAAAACCAGCUCAAGGAAAAAUCCCCACAUGCCAAAAUCAUUAUGUCGAACACCUAGCAUACACUGUUACUAUUCAUCUUCAGUGAAAUUCAGAGUUCAGUGUCGUUUCUUCGUCAGAGAUUCAGUCACAUGUCGACAGUGCACUUGGCGCGUUGCUCACAGCCCCUCCUUCCUGUCCGGAGCACCACACACACGCUUGGCUCGUUCUUGGCAUCGGUGGCGCCCUGGCCCGCCUGCGCCAGCGUGUUUUGCGGCGGCAGAAACCCCGUGGCGGCCAACAGGGGGACACCCUGCGGCAUAACGCCAUUCGGCACCGCCCAAACCUCCUGAGAGCUCCGCGUGGCCAUCUCCUUGCCAGCGCACGCAUGCAGCACCGUCGCCGUGGCCUCGCACGCGCAGAGCACGCUCUCUGCCGCCGAUGUGCCGUACGGCCAUUCCGUCGGGGACAGGCCGUAGCCACCCCUGCUGUGCUAAGUUAGACGCUGGAAUGGCACCAGUGCUUCGUCUAGAUGAUGCUCAAGCCUCUAAUCCACUCGUCCAGCCACAGCGCAGCCGUAAUCGCUCGCCGGACUUAUCCGUUCACGGCAACCGCCUCGGGCCGGCUAUAAAUAGCGCCUCCGAGCUCGCUCUCGCCCCCGCACAACUCCACCACCUCACCAGACCCCGCUUAGACUCUGGAAGAGCCUUGAAGGGCCCUUCUUCCUCCACUCCGGCCACCUCCGUCCGCCUCGGGCUCCGGCAACGUUCUCUUCGGUGAGAACUCCUCCACCGCCCUGCACUUGCCCGUAGCCUCAUGGCACCACUAGGAGGCUAACCCCCACUCCAAUUUGACCCUCGCAGCUCCCUCUGGCGAGAUCCAUGAUGACCCGAACCACCGUCCGCCGGAGAAAGGGCCGCCGUCAACACAGUGCUCCCCGGCGACCACCACCACCACCCAUAGACGCGGAAGGACGUUCUGAACACGGACGUAUCAUCCGAUCCCCCUGCCUCAUCGUGGAUCGCCGUCGGCGACCACCGCAUCUCUCGGGCGCCGUCGCGUCCCGUCUUCCUCAUUUGAAUUUUUAAACCUGACGGGUGGAGCCCGCCUGUCAGCCUCUCUUUCCUUUCUUUUAAACGAACCGUUUUCUGGACUUUUCUGCAGAACCCCCUGGAAGUUUUCUGUUUCAUUACAGAAAGGUCCUUGGAUCAAAACCCUUAUAACUUUUAAAUAGAAAAGGCUUUUUGUUUGAUUCUUUUUCUGUUCUCUUUGAAAUUUUGUCUAGUUUGUUAUCAGAUUUAUUUGAAAAUUAUUUGGAUUAAUUUUUGUGCACCUCGUGGUAUUUACGUUACGUGCAUAUUUUCUUAUACCGUAGAUACCGGAGGAGGUGACGGAGCCGCGAACUACACCCAGUUAGACUCCGACUACUUCGAACCAGGCAAGCAUGUUUGAACUCUUGAUAUGAUGAGUGUUUGUUGCAUGUUUGCAUUUAGGAGUUUCAUGGCAUGUUUAUGAACAUUUCUUUGAAUGUUAUAUUUCAUGCACAGAAGUGGAAAGUAAGUUUCGGAAAGCUAUAUGUUGUGGAUACAUAUUUGCAUGGCCAUGUGAUGGAAUGAGGAUGGGUAAGAUGGCAGUGUUGUGGCAUGCCAGUCUUAUGCCAGUCUAUUUGACUUCAGUGUCAUCGUGAAUCAAAUCAUAUUCCCAUUCAUUUCCUUCCUGUAAUGCCACUUGUUUUCCGCAAGGAAUAUGGCUUAGUAAGUUGCAAACCAUUUUCCUGGUACACACCAAGUAGAGAGGCCGGGAUGAGGGUUCCAUUGCCCUGGAUUAAAGCCCGUCAUCCGGUCAGGGGGCAUGGGUGUUUCCGGUUGGGACCGAGAGGGGGGCACCCCUUAGAGCGCGCGUAUAGAAAUUUGAUCCCAUGCUAUUCGAGGUUGUGACCUCCCCGUCUCAAAGUUUUUCUUGGACAUUGUCUAGGGUGAUUCCUGGCAUCGUGAGGUGGAAUGGGUGUGUACUAGUUAAAUGUGUUUCUACCGAAAUACCAUAAACGGAACUAGUCCUUCGUGACUACGGAAAUCCGUUGGCUGUGGUCAGUUAGUACAAACUCUGCAGAGUCACAAAUCCUUUAAAUCAUCUUGUACAUGUCCAAGUACUGUGUUCAUCUUAUCUUGUCAGAUAUCAACCUCAGUGACAAAACCCGGUGGACUACAUGAGUUUUAAACCCGGUUAAAAGUUUAUUCCUGUGGAUGGACUAACCCGUUAUUUACUUUUAAUAUAAGCCCUUUCUGUGAUGUCGCUCAGACGUUCGACUGUGGCAUACUUGUUAUUUACUUUUAAUAUAAGCCCUUUCUGUGAUGUCGCUCAGACAUCCGACUGUGGCAUUUCUUUUUUUUAAGCCCUUUCUGUGAUGUCACUCAGACGUCCGACUGUGGCAUACUUGUUAUUUACUUUUGAUAUAAGCCCUUUCUAUGAUGUCGCUCAGACGUCCGACUGUGGCAUACUUGUUAUGUACUUGUGAUAUAAGCCCUUUCUGUGAUGUCGCUCAGACGUCCGACUGUGGCAUUUCUUUUUUUUAAGCCCUUUCUGUGAUGUCGCUCAGACGUCCGACUGUGGCAUUUCUUUUAUAAGCCCUUUCUGUGAUGUCGCUCAGACGUCCGACUGUGGCAUUUCUUUUAUAAGCCCUUUAUGUGGUGUUGCUUAGACGCCCGACUGCGGCAUGAGCUUUAUUUGUUUACCUUUCGAGGCGUCGCUCCAGACACCCGAUCGGUUUUCAGUUAUUUGUUUUACUUAUCAAGUCGUGCAAAAAUAUUAUUAUUGGAAUGAGCAUCAUUAUUUUGUUCAUGACGCAUUCAUGCAUACAUUUGUUGUAUCUUUUGUCCAAACUGUCUUGUGAGUACUUUCAAAGUACUCACCUGGCUUGUUGAUUUGGCCAGAUGUUGCUGAAGGCGAUCUUAUGGAUGAAGAGUUCGAUAGCGAGUCCGACGCCUAGAGGAGUCCCAGUCAGUCCCGUGUGAUCCUGCAUUUGGUCAUUGUUAUACAUCCGCUUCCACCACCCCAGAAAUAAAUUCAUCGAGCCUCACCUUGACGCUCGAUGAGCUGCCAGUUAGGAGUCAAGUUAUCCACCACCACUUUUUAUCUCGAGCUAGUAGCAUGCCACCACACCCAUGUGUCAUAACCACCCUUAUGUAAGAUAUUGGCGAGUUUGUAAUAAAAUUGUUGAGCAGCCUCAGCUCAACCCUGUAAUAUAUUUAUGCUACUGGUCCUCUGUUUAUCAAGUAUUUGUCUACCAGUGAGGAUAAAUCUUCCUAUACUAGGAACUAAAGAUCGAUUUUCUCAAUAAUUAUUUUAUUGAAAAAACGGUCGUGACACAGCCCGGCAUGAAAGCACUAUGAAACUCUGAGACAAAACCUUCAGUCUAUUAGCAAGAACUUUAGAUGCAAGUUUGUACAAGACAUUGCACAGGCUAAUGGGGCGGAAUUUAGAGAGGUGUUGGGCAUUUUGUACCUUUGGGAUUAAGACAAUGAUUGAGUCGCAAAGUCCUUCGGGUAAAGCCUCGCCACUCAGGAAAGAGCGAAUUGCAUCGCAAAUAUCAUGCUGGAUCAGAUCCCAGUGAGUUUGAUAGAACAUGGUCGGCAAUCCAUCUGGCCCAGGAGCCUUCGUAGGUCCCAUUUGGAAGAGAGCUACCCUGAUCUCCUCAUUACUAUAUGGUUUGCACAGCUCAGCAUUCAUGUUGUCAUCCACCUUCCUCGGGAUAGCAUCCAACACCCUAUCCAUAGAGGUGCGGUCUCCAGCAGAGAAGAGAUCCUCGUAAAAAUCAUGUACCAUCUCUUUCAAUCCGUCCCGAGAAACACACUUGGAGCCAUCCUCCCGCACAAGAGCCUUGAUGCGGUUGGUGUGCCAUCGUGCAGAGGCCCGGGCAUGGAAGAACUCCGUAUUGCGGUCUCCCGCACAGAGCCAGACGAUCCGAGACCAUUGUCGUGCCAUGAUUUCCUCAUGCUCAAACAAUUCACAUAGCUGGCACUCUAGCUCACGUUCCUCCUUCAGCCCAGCAGCAUUCACGGGUGACGUGUGCAGAGACUUGAGUCUCCUUUCGGUUCUCUGGAUCUCACGUCGGACAGAACCAAAGGCCACCUUGCUCCAUUCCUUCAGAGCACCUGACACAUGGUUCAAAACUGACCAUGUUUCAUGCAGCGAGUGAGUUCCAGUGGCAUGGGCUUUCCAAGCAUUCUCCAGUACCUCAAUGUAUCCCUCAGCACGACACCACAUAGCCUCAUAGCGGGAUUUGUGUUGUACAGGGGGCCAAUCACCCAUCGCUUGCUGGGAGUCGAGGGAGAUGGCCACCGCAUAAUGGUCAGAAGUGGUAGUAAUUAUGUUUUCCACAUGAUAGAACUCGAACAUGGCAGUAAAGUCACCGUUAGCCACAGCGCGGUCAUGUCUGACCCGCACAUUGCAUUGCACGUCCUGCCGAUUAGUCCAGGUGAACUUUGGACCAGAAAAACCGAGGUCCACCAGCCCGCAGUCAUCAAGACAGUUUCGGAAAAGCUCCAUCUGGGCAUCCGAUCGGUCACGAGCUCCAAAGUGCUCAUCAUGGCAGAGAGCCUCGUUGAAAUCGCCACAGCAAAUCCACGGACCCUUCCACGACUGGUACAACCUCCUUAUCAAGCUCCAAAAUUCAUGACGAAGCUCGUGCUUUGGUUCCCCAUAAACAAAGGUCACCCGCCAGGGAGCUAGAUCAUCCGAUGAGACCGUCACAUCAAUGCAAUGUGAGUUGAAACCCUUCAGCAAAACUGAAUGUGGCGAAGACCAGAAAAGGGCCAAGCCUCCACAGAGGCCUUCGGAGCUAACAGCGAAAGAACCAGAGUAGCCCAAAGACCACAUAAAGUUCUUUGCUUUACGAUCCACCAUCUUGGUCUCCGACAAGAAGAGGAUCGAGGGUCGAUAAGUCUUCACUAACCAGCGAAGCUCGCCCACUGUCGCGUCCGACCCCAGGCCACGACAGUUCCAGCAUAGGAUACUCAUUGCGGCUGGCGGGGCUGCUCUGCAGCCGCCGCCGGAUCGAGAGAGUGUUGUCCUCGGUUUCUUGUUGGGGUCAUUUUCUUGGUACUCCUCAGUAUCAAGAUUCCCAUCGCUUGCAUUUGACGAGACCACCAGCGCGAGGGCAUUCCCCGCAUUAGGAAGUUGCUCAUCUACCGUAGAAGUAGUAGCCUGGUCCUUUGCCUUUUUUCUUUUCUGCCCACUCAUCCCAUUCUUGGAUUUCUGAGCAGGAAACAAUUCUUUUCCAGUGCCAGCAGAACGACCUCUUCCGCGGCCGCGGUUGGAGCGUCCCCUGCCCUGGUUGGUCAUCCGACCACCUUUGAUGUGGGAGGAAACCUCCCCAUCCUCGUCUCCAGCAGCAGCCUUGCCGAAGUUCGGCGCCCUACUUCCAGCAGCAGAUGACCGGAAGCCCCCAGAAGGAACCUUGUGACUAGGGGGUUGGGACUCAUAGCCAGCAGAUGACGAGGCAUUGCCUGACUUUGCGCCAUUUGACCUUCGUAUCUGGUCAACGAUAGCACAUACUUUCUUCACCGCAUAGGGCAAGUCACCAUUAACAUCGCGUUCCGAGGGGGCAGAACACAAGAUUGAGGAGUGUCCGAGUAGCCCACAUGAAAAGCAAUACAGAGGGAGGCGCUCAUACAUCACGGAAUAAGUUUCGGUGGUCUUGAGCUUAGCUGAGGUCACCGUCACAUAGCGCACCAAAGGUUCAUGCACCGCAAUUUCUGCUCUGAUGCGCAUAAAGGCUCCCCAGCAGCGCCCUCCUGAGUCAGCCUCCACCCGAAGAAUUGUUCCGAUUGGCUUGGCAACCUCCAUGCCCAACUUUGAGUUCAUCAGUCUUGGUGGGAGUGCCAUAAUCCUGGCCCAUAUGUCCAGCCGGUCAAAAUUAACCUGCAUUGGCUGGAUGUCCGGAUUGUAAUUCUUGAGCAGGACGGCGUGCUUGCCGACCACCCAUGGUGAGUUUUCCAUCACACGCACACGGUCUUCUCUCGUACCAAAUUCUGCAACGAACAGAUUGUCUCCCGCAGGGUGGAAUAGCAGCCCUUUCGGAUUUCCCCAAGCCGGCCUCAUCGCCGACGAGAUCGUCUGAUUAUGAAGAACACCAGGGGAAAGCACCUUCCCCACCAAUGCACAAUCGGAGUCGACCAUAUCGGCGUCGUCUUCAUCGUCCAACAACACAGGUUGCGCCUCGACUGCAGUCAGCCGCAAGCGCUCCAACAGGUCUUCUACAGGUGCACCGGAGCCGGAACCACCCGUCUCCCGCACCGGUUCAGAGGUCGUCGUCGCCUUACCCGAGCUGGGAAGCAGCGGCCUUGAUGGAGCACCGCCGCUUCAUGGGGUCAAACGGGCGGCCGCCUCACCGCUCAUCCCCUUCUCCUCUGCAGUCUCCGCCAUGAGCACGUCGGCAGAUCCUAGUCAGCAAUGGCCAAGGGUGGGUAGCAAUGCAAGGAUUUCCCCGUAAUCACACGGAACCAUGGCCAGCUAGAAAUCCAGCCGUCACCGACCAGCUGGAGCAAGAACAGGGGAAGGUGGGGGAGCAAAGGGAGAGAUUGCAGGCUAUGUGCAAUCCCAGACGGAGAUCACCUCCCAGAGGCCGCUAAUUGCCGGCGCACAGCGACUCUAGGGGAGCCAUCAGAUCCAUCCGCCGCCCAAGCACGAACACCGGCGGGGAUCGAAGAUUCGCCCCCGAAAUCGCCUCGCGGUACUGAACGGGUGGAGUCCACAUUAGCACCGAAGCCAAUCACUUGUGCCUCCAACUGAUAUAGUAUCCCAAAGAUGAUGCCCCCAUGAGGGUCAUGAUGCAGGAACCUCGCCAUCUUCUGAUCCGUAAAGUCUAAAUCUAGGAUUUCCCUCUGUGACGUCCGGAUAAUUAAGCUACAGUAAUUCUCUGUUAAUGAUGCCACGUCACUUCGAUUACUAUCGGUAAUCUCGCGUUAGUUCAGAACCGAUCCAAAUUCAGACUUGAAUUAAAGUCAAAACAAUUUAAGUUUUCAAAAGUCAAAACUAAGUUGUUCCUAAUGUGUCAAAUAGUCCAUAAUAAAUGUUGGUGAAGAAAUCAUCUUUGAAUAAAAUACUUAAAUGCACUAAAUAAACUAAAACGACGAUAAAACAAUUAUUAAAAAUGCUUUUAAAAUAAUAAGCAAAUGCAAAAAUACUUUAUUUAAAGUGCCAAAAAAUAAUUUGGGGUUGUGACCUAUUUAAUAACACCAAGUUAGUUGUCGCUUUUAGAUUUUAUAAAACAAAAAUAAAAGAAAACAUAAAAGUAAUAGAAUAUUAAAAAAAACAGAACAAACAAAAAAGGGAAAAGAAACACCCCCCCUGCUGGGCCUCAGCCCAGCUGGCCAUUGGGCUAACCAGGCCGGCCCAGCCGGCNNNNNNNNNNNNNNNNNNNNNNNNNNNNNNNNNNNNNNNNNNNNNNNNNNNNNNNNNNNNNNNNNNNNNNNNNNNNNNNNNNNNNNNNNNNNNNNNNNNNNNNNNNNNNNNNNNNNNNNNNNNNNNNNNNNNNNNNNNNNNNNNNNNNNNNNNNNNNNNNNNNNNNNNNNNNNNNNNNNNNNNNNNNNNNNNNNNNNNNNNNNNNNNNNNNNNNNNNNNNNNNNNNNNNNNNNNNNNNNNNNNNNNNNNNNNNNNNNNNNNNNNNNNNNNNNNNNNNNNNNNNNNNNNNNNNNNNNNNNNNNNNNNNNNNNNNNNNNNNNNNNNNNNNNNNNNNNNNNNNNNNNNNNNNNNNNNNNNNNNNNNNNNNNNNNNNNNNNNNNNNNNNNNNNNNNNNNNNNNNNNNNNNNNNNNNNNNNNNNNNNNNNNNNNNNNNNNNNNNNNNNNNNNNNNNNNNNNNNNNNNNNNNNNNNNNNNNNNNNNNNNNNNNNNNNNNNNNNNNNNNNNNNNNNNNNNNNNNNNNNNNNNNNNNNNNNNNNNNNNNNNNNNNNNNNNNNNCCCCGCACGAACCCCCCCACUCCUCCUGCACGAAACCCCACUCCUCGUGACCGAGACACCCACCCUCUCCCGUUCUCCAGCGUCGCCAAGCACCCCGCGCCCGACGCCCCGCCACCACGCCACUAGAUGGACGCCUCGCCACCUCGCCGCUGGAUGGACGCCCCGCCGCCUACCGUCGACGCUCGCCUCCCCGACCUCCUCCCCGGCGGACUCCGUCGAGCCUCGCCGGCGAACCCCUGCAUCGGGGGUGAGCGAAACUCCCCUCUCCUUUCUGUCUCCCUCGAACGUGCGUCCCUAGUCCGUCGCCGCGGCCGCCGCACUCGGCGCACGCCCCUGACCAUCGCCCUGUGCGCGCGCCGCCCGUGCUCACCGCGGCCUAGCCUCGCCCGGCGUGCCGUCACGCGCAACCGCAGCCGCGCCGAGCCGCACCUGUAGUGCUGCUCCUUCCCGGAGCGCUCGCACCUGUCGUGGCCCGCACCACCGCAGCCCCCUGCUGCCUCCGACGCAACCACCAUCGCCCCGCUCGCUGUCUCUACUCGAGACCGCCCGCGACGACCCCGCUGGCCACCGCGGCCAUCUGCGCCGGCCUCCCGCUCCAGUUCCUCCCCUCCGCCGCUUCCCCUGACCGGCGUCAUGGGCGCCGGCGGCCGUACCGAUGGCCUCGACCGAAGCAGCGCUCUGAUUCGCCCAUAGUCGGGCGCGCCCGUUACCACCACCAAUGCCCGUCGCCCGACCCACCAUAGGCCAUUGGGCCUAUGGCACGAGGGGCCCACAGCCCGAGAACGAAAAAAAAAUAAAAAAAAAUAAAUUUAAUUAAUUAAUUAAUUAACUAAAUUAAUUAAGUUAAUUAACCUUAAUUAAUUAAUCUAAUUAACCUGUUAGCUUAAUUAAAUAGUAAUUAGUUUAACUAAAUCCUAAUUAACCUAACAGAGUAUGACAGGUGGGUCCCAUUGGACCCACGCGUCAGUUUGACCCAGUCAACCCCUGUUGACUGUUGAUGUCAGCAUGACGUCAUGCUGACGUCAUAAAUCCAUUUUCCGAAUUAAUUAAAUAAUUAAAUAAAUUCCAGAAAUUAAUAAAAUCUUUAGAAAAUCAUAUCUUUUAAUCCGUAACUCGGAUUAAAAUAUUUUCAACAUGAAAGUUGCUCAGAACGACGAGACGAAUCCGGAUACGCAGUCCGUUCGUCCGCCACACACCCAUAACCUAUCGAACCCGCAACUUUCCCCCUCCGGCUCCUCUGCCCGAAAACACGAAACACCGGGGAUAUUUUCCUGAAUGUUUCCCCCCCUUAACCGGUACCACCUCAUACCACGCUAGGGCACGCCUAGCAUCGUUACUUGUCUUGUCAUGCAUCGAAAUGCAUCUGUUUACAUGGUAUUCAUUGUUUCUUCCCCCCUCUUCUCUCCGGUAGACUACGAGACCGACGCUGCUGCUGCCCAGCUCGACUACGGAGUUGACGACCCCUCUCUCUUGCCAGAGCAACCAGGCAAGCCCCCCCCUUGAUCACCAGAUAUCGCCUACUCUUAUCUAUAUUGCUUGCAUUAGAGUAGUGUAGCAUGUUACUGCUUUCCGUUAAUCCUAUUCUGAUGCAUAGCCUGUCAUUGCUGCUACAGUCAUUGAUACCUUACCCGCAAUCCUAAAUGCUUAGUAUAGGAUGCUAGUGUUCCAUUAGUGGCCCUACACUCUUGUCCGUCUGCCAUGCUAUACUACUGGGCUGUGAUCACUUCGGGAGGUGAUCACGGGCAUAUACGAUAUACUUUACACAGUUACAUCAUCUGUGAUACUGUUCGGAGUUGGGGGCUGAAGGGGCAGGUGGCUCCAUCCCGGUAGAGGUGGGCCUGGGUUCCCGACGGCCCCCGACUGUUACUUUGUGGCGGAGCGACAGGGCAGGUUGAGACCACCUAGGAGACAGGUGGGCCUGAUCCUGUUCGGCAUUCGCGGAUACUUAACACGCUUAACGAGAUCUUGGUAUUUGAUCUGAGUCUGGCUACGAGCCUAUACGCACUAACCAUCUACGUGGGAGUAGUUAUGGGUAUCCCGACGUCGUGGUAUCAGCCGAAGCACUUCGUGACAUCAGCGACUGAGCGGCGCGCGCCGGGUUGGACUGCUUUAACGCAACUUCCUUUGUAAUGGAGGUUGCUAGGUCUGCUCACCGGCCGCGUACGCAACGUGCAGGUGUGCUCAGGGCGAUGGGCCCAGACCCCUGCGCGCUUAGGUUUAGACCGGCGUGCUGGCCUCUCCGUUGAGCCUAGGUGGGGCUGCGACGUGUUGAUCUUCCGCGGCCGGGCAUGACCCAGGAAAGUGUGUCCGGCCAAAUGGGAUCGAGCGUGUUGGGUUAUGUGGUGCACCCCUGCAGGGAAGUUAAUCUAUUCGAAUAGCCGUGAUCUUCGGUAAUAGGACGACUUGGAGUUGUACCUUGACCUUAUGACAACUAGAACAGGAUACUUAAUAAAACACACCCUUCCAAGUUCCACAGACAACCCGGUGAUCGCUUUUCUACAGGGCGACGAGGAGAGGAUCGCCGGGUAGGAUUAUGCUAUGCGAUGCGACUGGAGAUGCGCUUGGAGAUGCUACCUGGAUAUGCUACUUGGAGAUGCUACUUGGAGGACUUCAAUCUACUCUCUUCUACAUGCUGCAAGACGGAGGCUGCCAGAAGCGUAGUCUUCGACAGGAUUAGCUACCCCCCUCUUAUUCUGGCAUUCUGCAGUUCAGUCCACUGAUAUGGCCUCCUUACACAUAUACCCAUGCAUAUGUAGUGUAGUUCCUUGCUUGCGAGUACUUUGGAUGAGUACUCACGGUUGCUUUCUCCCCCCUUUUUCCCCUUUUCCUUUCUUUCUGGUUGUCGCAACCAGAUGCUGCAGUUCAGGAGCCAGACGCCACCGUCGACGACGACCCCUACUACACCGGAGGUGCCCCUACUACGUGCAGCCCGCUGACGACGACCAGGAGUAGUUAGGAGGAUCCCAGGCAGGAGGCCUGCGCCUCUUUCGAUCUGUAUGCCAGUUUGUGCUAGCCUUCUUAAGGCAAACUUGUUUAACUUAUGUCUGUACUCAGUUAUUGUUGCUUCCGCUGACUCGUCUAUGAUCGAGCACUUGUAGCCCUCGAGGCCCCUGGCUUGUAUUAUGAUGCUUGUAUGACUUAAUUUAUUUGUAGAGUUGUGUUGUGAUAUCUUCCCGUGAGUCCCUGAUCUUGAUCGUACACAUUUGCGUGCAUGAUUAGUGUACGGUCAAAUCGGGGGCGUCACAAGUUGGUAUCAGAGCCGACUGCCUGUAGGAAUCCCCCUUCCAACUCCUUGGCCGAAGUCGAGUCUAGACUUUACAAAACUUUUACUAACAUGGCUGUGCGGCCCAUGGGCCCACGUCACCAUUGGGUGGUAGUAGGAUCUUUUACUCCUCGACCUUUACUCUGGGACUCUGAACUCUCUUCUACUCGGGUUAAACGAUUUCUACUAAAAUCUGACUUUAGGUUCUCGAAAAUACUUUCUCCCGGAGAGCCCCUUCAGUCCAGGUGAUCGCCGACUGCACCAGAAGAUUUCGAAGUUACUCGCCGAAACUCUUUUGAGACUUUGUGUCCGUUGCUUUUGCAAUUCCCUACCAUCGAAAUAUCCCUAUGGAUAAAUACUUACACUUGACGUUCUUACUUUUAUUCCCAGUUGAUCUUGUUAUUACCAGAUACCCCGAAAUUCUCUCUAUUGAUCCGAGAAUAUCUUGCGCCUACUGUCUUGCAAUUCCUUGUCACCUGAAUACCCCUUUGGAUAAUUCUCGCACUUGUCGAGUAUCCGCUUAUCCCCAGUUGUUCAUGUGUUUCACAAAAGUCUUCAAAAUAAUAUUCGAUCUUCCGAAAAUCCUCUGGACCCUUUGGCUCUUGAAAUUCUUGCUUGCUUGCAUUAUGGUUAAUCCCUUAAGUCUCGUAGUCUUAAUGACAUUCCUUGUCAUUAUCAUUUUGAGUCUGUUGACUCAAUAUGUUUGCGAAUACCCGCAAACAUCAUUGAUCCUUAUAAAUUACCUUUCCGGCUGAGCUGCCAUUCUUUUAACUGGAAUUGGUUCUCGACCAAUCCAAUUGUCGUUGAUUGUACCCUAAGGCUAUUCAACUUAUCCAUCCCUAAUCAGAGCAUUGCUUCUGAUCCCUUGAUUUGGAAAUCAUAAUUCCUUUGCAUUUGACAAUUGAGUUAGUCAGUUGUUUCUAUAAUUUGAUCUCCUUGCACUCUUCUUCCUCUAGUUGAGUACCGAUGCUCACGUCAGAUCCCUUGUGGACCAUCAGGCCCAUUGUUGGAUUUUAUCCGUCAGCAUCCUUCAUAUUCAAUAACCUUGUGAGCCUCCCCUUGGAUACAUAAUGCCUUGGCAAUUGUAACAUCUACUUUCUCAACCUUGCUCUACUUUCGAGCUUGUGUUAUUUACUCCUGAAGUUUGUGGUAUAUGUUCCUAGGAGGCCCUAAUGGGUUGGACAUAUGCUCUUCUUUAAACUGUGUGAACCCGGAAACCACUACGGGUCAUACUCUACUAGUGUUAUGUCAGAUAAAAUUUCAACACACAAUUUCGUUGAAGGCGAGAAGUGAAUGAAAGGUUAUGCAUUAAAGAAGUGGGAGUCGACCUUGAACUUGUGUUCAUGCCCAUGGACGCGAUUUAUAUCCUAUCAUGAAAGCUUCUUGUAACAAUAACUAUUUCCUUGAUAACUAACCUAUGGUAUCUGUGAAUUGAUUCCUUGCAACCAUGGCUCCGACCAUGAUUGUUCUUCUUUGAUCUCAUUUCUCGGACAAGUUAAAACAAUUGUCUUCUAUGGAUCAAUACACCAGUCCAACCUUUACUUUGAUCUUGUGUCGAGUAUUACCCCCCUGGUAUCUCGAGAUUAUCAUGGAACUGCAUAACUUUUUAUGAGUUCUUCAUCAAGUGCUACCUUCCCACUGAUUCCAAUUUUUCGCGGGCUCUGAGUUAAUAAACACUCAAAGACACCGAUAACGGAACCGAGUCCGCUCUACGGUUCAAUAACUCUUCAGUAAGCUUCUAUAAGUACGAGUUUGUACCCGAUCACGCCAUUCCUAGCCUGUUUGGCUAUAUCAUUGUCGUGAUGAUCUUAACUGUGCAAUCCGGCCCCUAUUCUCGGAGCACCAAUUUGCGACGAUAGCUAAGCUUACGUCGAUUUUCCUCGUCAUACCCUUUCACCUUAAACAACAAGCUUGAGUUCGAGUUUGUGUCGUAACUGUGGAUCCAAUAACCUCUUGCUUCACCAUUCCUUUGACUUGAUGUCGUCGCUGAUUGAUUACAUCUGCAUGAAAUCUCUCGACAAUGGUGUCGUGAUCAUCAUCAACCUUAUGAGCUCUUCCAGGAAUUCAAAUGAAUUCAUGAUGGGUAAUACCAUCCUUGCCCCUCGAUGAUUCAUGUUCUCAUCGACCACUUUAUUGCCUUCCGUCCAACACAACUUGUUCGUGUUUUGUGUAAACCUUGAGACCCCUGCUACCCAGCAGUUGAUCUUCCUUACCUCGGAAGUAUUACCAUCCCUUUUGGUCAAGAAUGUGGUGAGAAUUUCACCACCUCUUAAGAAUUCUUGAUAUCAUAAUACUUCUUGCCAUCUUCGUUCAUUCCUUGGUCCCCGUAUUGUUUUCAACCGGAAUACCGACAAUUGAGCUAUGAAGUGUGAAUUCUAAAAUUCUAACAACCCUAUUGCUUUGAAGUGAAUGGGCAAUAGUUCAUUCUAAGUCCUUCGCAAAUUGAAUCACCAUUCUGACAUUGGUCGUGCAACCCAACCCAUAUUUCGGGCGCACCUUUCAACCAAUGUUUAAUUGUGUAUGUUUUCCUCGAGCUUACUUCCUUAUAUCAUUUGAUCUGACAAAUGUUAUCUCCUUGUUCACUUAAUUGUGGAAAUCCAUCUUUUGGAAAUCUCGAAGAAUUGUCGUUGAGUUCAUCAUCCACCUCCUUGUCCUCUUCUGGGGAUAAUGAUGAACUCUUGUUAACGGAAAUCACUUCAUGGUUCAUUUCCCGAGAAUCUUACAGUGUCAUCCCGUCAAUUGGUGUUGCACCUUUCUUCUCAGGCAUCAUGAGCCUGAGGUAUCCUGACACCAAUCAUACCUGAAUCUCCGUCAGAUAUGAUGGUUAGGACAACUUUCCAAGAGUUAUAACAUUGGUCCUUUGAUGACCUGGUAACAUGAUGUCAUGCCUAGCACCCCCCCCUGGGUGGAGGACCUAUUAUUGUAGUAUCCUUUUUAGCAAGUUUAGCCAUUCUUCCCUGAGGAAAUUGUAAGACUUAUCCUACCAGUUGUUCCUAAUGGAUCCUUCCUAUAUCUAAAGUCUGACCUUUUGCUCGAAGACCAUGUCAAUGCUAUCUCGAAGCAUGUCUAUGGUACUCCAAAUUUUCAACAAGAACAUUUGAAGCCCAAUGAUAAAUGUUUCCUGCUCAAUUAUCCAAACACCGUUGUAUGGGUAAUAUCAUGAAAUUUCUCUCCCCUACCUAAGGAGUUUUCUACAUAAUAUCCUGUCAUGGAUAUCAUGCUCUGCUUGUCCUUGGGAAGGAUAUACCCCUGAUAUACGUGUUUAAGCACAUUUUCCUUCCCGUUGUUUUGUUCAAACUUACUUGUAAACUACUUAACCGAGCAGUGGUAAUCCCCUGCUUAGGUAAACACCUCAGUGUACCUUCCUGUCUGGUGUAACCCUGUUUCUACUGUUGAUAACUUUCGGUAACCGCCGAUGGACGAGAACUUUGCCUAUUGGUCCGCCUCGUUCAACGAGCAGGAAAAUGGUUCUCUUCGUCCCUCGCCCCUGGUACCGACAUUGUGCUGACAUAACUGAUAGGCUACCCUCUGACAUGCCUUGCUAUUGUGACCGUGCGAGAUGUCACCGCUCCUAUUUUUAACCCACAUGGUGGGCCCAUGACCCACAAUUCCACAGGAUCGAAACCUGACUCUCCUGUACACCCCCUGUUCCCAAAGUUAUUCCUCACGCGUGGCCUCGUGUGUAAUUCACGAGCCACCUUCCGAUGAGAUCAUCAAUCUGGUAUCAGACGCAAUACUUAUUCCCAUUGCUCUGAACCCCUUUCACACUUCGCUUCAGGCAACGAACGAUUGCCUAUGCGCUUGAAACUUCUAUUUGGCACCUUCUUGCUUUGCUCUCGAUAUUGUCUUAAAUUUCAAUUCGAGAGUUACUUUCCGUCACCUUCCUCGUUGUUGUCUACCAGAUAAUCAACCCUGCAGAGAUCCAUUCUUCGGUAUACCCCCUUAAUCUUUCGUUAGUACAAUGAAAUUUCCGAAGAAAGGAUGAUGACUUCAUCAUGAUGGCCUGAAGCAGAGAAAGGAAGACAUCAAUAUAAUGGGUCGACCUCUUCGAGAAGAGCAACCAAGACUGAGAAGAUCCGUUAGCAUUUCGUAAUUAGAUCCCUCCCCCCUUACUCCUGCUCCUAAAUCUCGGGACGAGAUUUCUUGUAGUGGAGGAGAAUUGUGACGUCCGGAUAAUUAAGCUACAGUAAUUCUCUGUUAAUGAUGCCACGUCACUUCGAUUACUAUCGGUAAUCUCGCGUUAGUUCAGAACCGAUUCAAAUUCAGACCUUUAUUAAAGUCAAAACAAUUUAAGUUUUCAAAAGUCAAAACUAAGUUGUUCCUAAUGUGUCAAAUAGUCCAUAAUAAAUGUUGGUGAAGAAAUCAUCUUUGAAUAAAAUACUUAAAUGCACUAAAUAAACUAAAACGGCGAUAAAACAAUUAUUAAAAAUGCUUUUAAAAUAAUAAGCAAAUGCAAAAAUACUUAAUUUAAAGUGCCAAAAAAAUUUGGGGUUGUGACCUAUUUAAUAACACCAAGUUAGUUGUCGCUUUUAGAUUUUAUAAAACAAAAAUAAAAGAAAACAGAAAAGUAAUAGAAUAUUAAAAAAAAAACAGAACAAACAAAAAAGGGAAAAGAAACACCCCNNNNNNNNNNNNNNNNNNNNNNNNNNNNNNNNNNNNNNNNNNNNNNNNNNNNNNNNNNNNNNNNNNNNNNNNNNNNNNNNNNNNNNNNNNNNNNNNNNNNNNNNNNNNNNNNNNNNNNNNNNNNNNNNNNNNNNNNNNNNNNNNNNNNNNNNNNNNNNNNNNNNNNNNNNNNNNNNNNNNNNNNNNNNNNNNNNNNNNNNNNNNNNNNNNNNNNNNNNNNNNNNNNNNNNNNNNNNNNNNNNNNNNNNNNNNNNNNNNNNNNNNNNNNNNNNNNNNNNNNNNNNNNNNNNNNNNNNNNNNNNCCCCGCACGAACCCCCCCACUCCUCCUGCACGAAACCCCACUCCUCGUGACCGAGACACCCACCCUCUCCCGUUCUCCAGCGUCGCCAAGCACCCCGCGCCCGACGCCCCGCCACCACGCCACUAGAUGGACGCCUCGCCACCUCGCCGCUGGAUGGACGCCCCGCCGCCUACCGUCGACGCUCGCCUCCCCGACCUCCUCCCCGGCGGACUCCGUCGAGCCUCGCCGGCGAACCCCUGCAUCGGGGGUGAGCGAAACUCCCCUCUCCUUUCUGUCUCCCUCGAACGUGCGUCCCUAGUCCGUCGCCGCGGCCGCCGCACUCGGCGCACGCCCCUGACCAUCGCCCUGUGCGCGCGCCGCCCGUGCUCACCGCGGCCUAGCCUCGCCCGGCGUGCCGUCACGCGCAACCGCAGCCGCGCCGAGCCGCACCUGUAGUGCUGCUCCUUCCCGGAGCGCUCGCACCUGCCGUGGCCCGCACCACCGCAGCCCCCUGCUGCCUCCGACGCAACCACCAUCGCCCCGCUCGCUGUCUCUACUCGAGACCGCCCGCGACGACCCCGCUGGCCACCGCGGCCAUCUGCGCCAGCCUCCCGCUCCAGUUCCUCCCCUCCGCCGCUUCCCCUGACCGGCGUCAUGGGCGCCGGCGGCCGUACCGAUGGCCUCGACCGAAGCAGCGCUCUGAUUCGCCCAUAGUCGGGCGCGCCCGUUACCACCACCAAUACCCGUCGCCCGACCCACCAUAGGCCAUUGGGCCUAUGGCACGAGGGGCCCACAGCCCGAGAACGAAAAAAUAAAAAAAAAAUUUAAUUAAUUAAUUAAUUAACUAAAUUAAUUAACUUAAUUAACCUUAAUUAAUUAAUCUAAUUAACCUGUUAGCUUAAUAAAACAGUAAUUAGUUUAACUAAAUCCUAAUUAACCUAACAGAGUAUGACAGGUGGGUCCCAUUGGACCCACGCGUCAGUUUGACCCAGUCAACCCCUGUUGACUGCUGAUGUCAGCAUGACGUCAUGCUGACGUCAUAAAUCCAUUUUCCGAAUUAAUUAAAUAAUUAAAUAAAUUCCAGAAAUUAAUAAAAUCUUUAGAAAAUCAUAUCUUUUAAUCCGUAACUCGGAUUAAAAUAUUUUCAACAUGAAAGUUGCUCAGAACGACGAGACGAAUCCGGAUACGCAGUCUGUUCGUCCGCCACACACCCCUAACCUAUCGAACCCGCAACUUUCCCCCUCCGGCUCCUCUGCCCGAAAACACGAAACACCGGGGAUAUUUUCCCGAAUGUUUCCCCCCCUUAACCGGUACCACCUCAUACCACGCUAGGGCACGCCUAGCAUCGUUACUUGUCUUGUCAUGCAUCGAAAUGCAUCUGUUUACAUGGUAUUCAUUGUUUCUUCCCCCCUCUUCUCUCUGGUAGACUACGAGACCGACGCUGCUGCUGCCCAGCUCGACUACGGAGUUGACGACCCCUCUCUCUUGCCAGAGCAACCAGGCAAGCCCCCCCCUUGAUCACCAGAUAUCGCCUACUCUUCUCUAUAUUGCUUGCAUUAGAGUAGUGUAGCAUGUUACUGCUUUUCGUUAAUCCUAUUCUGAUGCAUAGCCUGUCAUUGCUGCUACAGUCAUUGAUACCUUACCCGCAAUCCUAAAUGCUUAGUAUAGGAUGCUAGUGUUCCAUUAGUGGCCCUACACUCUUGUCCGUCUGCCAUGCUAUACUACUGGGCUGUGAUCACUUCGGGAGGUGAUCACGGGCAUAUACGAUAUACUUUACAUAGUUACAUCAUCUGUGAUACUGUUCGGAGUUGGGGGCUGAAGGGGCAGGUGGCUCCAUCCCGGUAGAGGUGGGACUGGGUUCCCGACGGCCCCCGACUGUUACUUUGUUGCGGAGCGACAGGGCAGGUUGAGACCACCUAGGAGACAGGUGGGCCUGAUCCUGUUCGGCGUUCGCGGAUACUUAACACGCUUAACGAGAUCUUGGUAUUUGAUCUGAGUCUGGCUACGAGCCUAUACGCACUAACCAUCUACGUGGGAGUAGUUAUGGGUAUCCCGACGUCGUGGUAUCAGCCGAAGCACUUCGUGACGUCAGCGACUGAGCGGCGCGCGCCGGGUUGGACUGCGUUAACGCAACUUCCUUUGUAAUGGAUGUUGCUAGGUCUGCUCACCGGCCGCGUACGCAACGUGCAGGUGUGCUCAGGGCGAUGGGCCCAGACCCCUGCGCGCUUAGGUUUAGACCGGCGUGCUGGCCUCUCCGUUGAGCCUAGGUGGGGCUGCGACGUGUUGAUCUUCCGCGGCCGGGCAUGACCCAGGAAAGUGUGUCCGGCCAAAUGGGAUCGAGCGUGUUGGGUUAUGUGGUGCACCCCUGCAGGGAAGUUAAUCUAUUCGAAUAGCCGUGAUCUUCGGUAACAGGACGACUUGGAGUUGUACCUUGACCUUAUGACAACUAGAACAGGAUACUUAAUAAAACACACCCUUCCAAGUUCCACAGACAACCCGGUGAUCGCUUUUCUACAGGGCGACGAGGAGAGGAUCGCCGGGUAGGAUUAUGCUAUGCGAUGCGACUGGAGAUGCGCUUGGAGAUGCUACCUGGAUAUGCUACUUGGAGAUGCUACUUGGAGGACUUCAAUCUACUCUCUUCUACAUGCUGCAAGACGGAGGCUGCCAGAAGCGUAGUCUUCGACAGGAUUAGCUACCCCCCUCUUAUUCUGGCAUUCUGCAGUUCAGUCCACUGAUAUGGCCUCCUUACACAUAUACCCAUGCAUAUGUAGUGUAGUUCCUUGCUUGCGAGUACUUUGGAUGAGUACUCACGGUUGCUUUCUCCCCCCUUUUUCCCCUUUUCCUUUCUUUCUGGUUGUCGCAACCAGAUGCUGGAGUUCAGGAGCCAGACGCCACCGUCGACGACGACCCCUACUACACCGGAGGUGCCCCUACUACGUGCAGCCCGCUGACGAUGACCAGGAGUAGUUAGGAGGAUCCCAGGCAGGAGGCCUGCGCCUCUUUCGAUCUGUAUGCCGGUUUGUGCUAGCCUUCUUAAGGCAAACUUGUUUAACUUAUGUCUGUACUCAGUUAUUGUUGCUUCCGCUGACUCGUCUAUGAUCGAGCACUUGUAUUCGAGCCCUCGAGGCCCCUGGCUUGUAUUAUGAUGCUUGUAUGACUUAAUUUAUUUGUAGAGUUGUGUUGUGAUAUCUUCCCGUGAGUCCCUGAUCUUGAUCGUACACAUUUGCGUGCAUGAUUAGUGUACGGUCAAAUCGGGGGCGUCUCACCCUCGAGGCAUGCAGCAAACCCGAAUCGCCCCACAAUACCUCCAAUGAGGUAAGAAGCCUGCGAGCACCGUUGUUGAUGGUUCAGGCAAAGGCCGAACCAAGCUUUCGCUGGCAAAAGCACACCAAUCCCCCGCUGGACCGUUAGAUCCACCUCCACCGUCAUCCAUGGGUGAUGUCCCUGCCAUCGGGAUACCUCACAACCAAAGCCGUUGUGGUGUUACAGUCUCCUGAACCGUCGCCCUGUGUGGGUGAGCCAUCUACAGCGGAGGAGCCCUCACCGCUGCAAUACCGAUGCCGGACAAGCCACAUGCCUAGGACACCCAUGCAGAUCUUUGCCGCAUGCAUCCCGGAGCAACGGCGGUGGAAGACCCCGGCGCCAUAUCUGGACCUGUCGCCCCCGUCCAUGGCAGCCACGCGACAACGUCGGGAGGAGACGAGAAGGUGGAGAGGAGAGGGUGGCCGAUUGAUCUGAGGUGCGGGCUCGAAGAUGGGCGCUUGUGGCGGCGGCGCUGGGUUUACGAGAGGAGCGCUUUGGACCAGAAAAUAAAAUCUUCGUCUUAUUUCUCUAUAUAGUUUGUCUUCAAGGCAUGGUGUAUUUAAUUUUCCAAACAAUAGAAGUUAAAACUUGAUAGCAUAUUUCAUCCAAAGUCAGUCUUGGCAAAACAAGAAAUAGAAAAUGAUGCAUGACCUUUCUUCUUUCUGAGGGCUGAUACAUUUACAUGAUACUGUUCCGCCCCACAAGUAUAGUUUAUCCAAAUCAAAAGGUCGGUUGAAGAAAAUAAUUACAAAAACAAACACAUUUGUUGGUCCUUAAGGGUAUGGAACCAACAUGCUAGUCCUCCGGCACUAUAAAUAGCACCCCUAGACUUGAAAAUAAAAGGAAUGACCAUGCCCAUGAUCAGUAACAAGGAAUAACAAGGAGUGAUCAUGAAUAGGAUGUGAAGGAUUAUUUUAUUGAACCUGUGAAGUAAUUACAUGGAAGAUUCAUGACAAUAUUAUUCCCAACAUGUCAUACCACUACUACUGAAUUGCCCAUAAAGAAAAUAUAAUAUGCAAUAUGUUAAUCAAGGAAACAUGAUUCUGCAGUUUAGCAAUGCACAAUUCAAACAAUCUUUAUGGUCUUCACAUAUAUUUAAGAUACGAGCUGAAUUAAAUGUACAAUAGAGUGCAAUACAUUUCUUACACAGAACAACUAACAUGGAGCAUAUGAAUACUAUAGUAUCCUAUAUGCUUUAUGUCCAUGUGUUAUUUCAGAUAUAAAACUUCACCGGAUCCAUGACAUAACUUAUCACAUAGUUACAAGAUAACGUUUUGUGCAUUGAAACGGUUUAAAUGUCAAAGUAUUGGACGAAGCUACCAGUUGCAAUGCUCUGCAUAGAAUGGAAACAAUAAGUGCAAUAUUAGCAUGCCAUCUUCUGACAAAACUAUAAUAAUAAUAAUAAUAAUAAUAAUAAUAAUAAUAAUAAUAAUAAUAAUAAUAAUAAUAAUAAUAAUAAUAAUAAUAAUAAUAAUAAUGAUAAGUACAAGAAUCGAAAUGUUAAAGAUUCUCUCAAGUAUGUCAAGGAGCAAGUACAAAACACUUACAACUGUUGGAAUGAAGGCAGUAAUAUUAAGUUCUCUAUAGCUCUCCACGUUUGGAGUCCCUUUGACUAUUGCAAACUGGAUGAUACCUUGUGCCAUCGCUAGUUCAUUGGUCCCGCCAACAAUUGCCCAAACUCCAUUUGGAGGAGUCAUCCCCAUAACUUGAAAUGUUGAACCAGUAAACCUAUUUCAUGAAUCACUUGGAAGUUAAACAAAAGGCGGCACUCAACAUUUUAAUAAUUGCAUCUGAGUUGAGUCAAAUUAGAACUAUAAUCAGUGUUAAAAAUACGAUAAGUAACAUAGAUAUUAUCCAGUGAUUUAGAACAAAUAUAUUACGUACCGUCCCUGCUGGAAUAUCAUACUGAAAUGGGAGAAAUCUCCAGCAUUGACCUGGUCAGCCUGGACAUGGGUUCCUUUGGCACGACCAAUAAUUUUGGCGUCCGGUGCAGGUGCAUCAAGUAGAGUAUAAUCAAAAGCAACCGUCCUACCAAACUCUAUAGGGGGAGUAGACUUAAACACAACUUCUUGGUUGUGGGUUGGUCCGGACACCACCUGGUGCAAAUACAUCUGCAUUUUUAUCUCACUUUCACAAUGAGUGGGACAUGCAAAGAAGGGAUGGGCUAUUGAAAGCAUCAGAAUGGAGACAAAGAGGGAGGCUAGGGCAAGUCUAGGGUCAGCCAUUGCUAGGAUUGUUGGCUCCCAAAGAGAAGACCACUAUACUUGAAUCUGUGUUUCUCUU